This 427-nucleotide non-coding RNA is filed under the name Bacillus sp. MRMR6. RNAcentral's name for it is "Bacterial small subunit ribosomal RNA". It matches the Rfam family "Bacterial small subunit ribosomal RNA", at positions 1 to 417 of the family's 1533-position model. Lineage: Bacteria; Bacillati; Bacillota; Bacilli; Caryophanales; Bacillaceae. The record is from Rfam by way of RNAcentral.
UUCAUGGAGAGUUUGAUCCUGGCUCAGGACGAACGCUGGCGGCGUGCCUAAUACAUGCAAGUCGAGCGAAUCAUGAGGUGCUUGCACCUCUUGGUUAGCGGCGGACGGGUGAGUAACACGUGGGCAACCUGCCUGUAAGACUGGGAUAACAUCGGGAAACCGAUGCUAAUACCGGAUAAUUCUUUUCCUCUCAUGAGGAAAAGCUGAAAGUCGGCUUCUCGCUGACACUUACAGAUGGGCCCGCGGCGCAUUAGCUAGUUGGUGAGGUAACGGCUCACCAAGGCGACGAUGCGUAGCCGACCUGAGAGGGUGAUCGGCCACACUGGGACUGAGACACGGCCCAGACUCCUACGGGAGGCAGCAGUAGGGAAUCUUCCGCAAUGGACGAAAGUCUGACGGAGCAACGCCGCGUGAACGAUGAAGGCCU